This 2674-nucleotide unclassified non-coding RNA is filed under the name Leishmania donovani. RNAcentral's name for it is "gene:LdHU3.26.3600(CDS-product:glutamate_5-kinase _putative)". The record is from RNAcentral. Lineage: Eukaryota; Euglenozoa; Kinetoplastea; Trypanosomatida; Trypanosomatidae.
UCGGUGAAAGUCUGUUUUGCGUGGGUGUGCAGGCCGAAACCCACUGUGUGCAUCUACUGCCAUCUUCUGCAUUGUUUUGGUGUGCCCUUUUCAUGGUUUCGCCUGCUUUGCCGAUUCUUCUCAUUUCGCCACCACAGACAUCAAGGGGCACAAGCAAGCACGCAGCAAUAGGGACUCCAACCUCGUGAAAGUACGCCCUCCCUGCCCCAGUCCACGCGGAAUCAAGCAUGGCGGACAUCUUGAAGUCGGUGAAGCGCAUCGUGGUAAAGGUGGGCUCCUCGAUCCUUGUGGACAAUCAGGAGAUCGCCGCGCACCGGAUCGAGGCGCUAUGCCAGUUUAUCGCCGACCUUCAGACCAAGUACGAAGUGAUCCUUGUCACAUCCGGUGCAGUCGCCGCGGGGUACACGAAAAAAGAGAUGGAUAAGUCAUAUGUGCCGAAUAAGCAGGCACUCGCGUCGAUGGGGCAGCCACUGCUCAUGCACAUGUACUACACCGAGCUGCAAAAGCACGGCAUCCUGUGCGCUCAGAUGCUGCUUGCUGCCUAUGAUCUCGACUCGCGGAAGCGUACUAUCAACGCCCAUAAUACCAUUGAGGUGCUCAUCAGCCACAAGGUGAUCCCGAUCAUCAACGAAAACGAUGCGACGGCGCUUGAGGAGCUGGUCUUUGGCGACAAUGACCGUCUGUCCGCGCUAGUUGCGCACCACUUCAAGGCCAACCUACUUGUCAUUCUCAGCGACAUCGACGGCUACUACACCGAAAAUCCACGCACUUCCACGAAUGCCACGAUACGCUCUGUCGUCCACGAACUUAGCCCUGACGAUCUUGUGGCAGAGGCCACCCCGAACAAUCGGUUCGCGACGGGUGGGAUUGUGACGAAGCUGCAGGCUGCUCAAUUCCUCCUGGAAAGGGGAGGAAAAAUGUACCUCUCGAGCGGAUUCCACCUAGAGAAGGCACGCCAGUUCCUUCUCGGCGGCUCGCACGAGAUCGGCACACUGUUUUAUUCGAGAGUUUCAUCUUGAAGCGCUUAGGGAUCUCACACAAGCACAGUGGAAGAGAGACCACAACACAGAAGACGCGCCCUAUCUCACCGCAUUGGCGUGCCCCAGAUUGGACCCCUCAUCACGGUCGUCUACAGGCUCCCUUUCUGUUGUGUGCGGUUGCGCCCAGGUCUUUAUCCGUGGCUUCAUAUUUCACUUUGUGUCUGUUUUUCUGUCGUUCAUGCGAGUCCUCAUUUUUGUCGACCACAUUGAACUUACCUCACGAAUUGGGCAGGACAAAACCGAAGGUGGUGCGUGUUCUUUUCUUCGCUACCCGAUAUCGAAACAGGUACCCACGGUUGUAGGCAAAUACGCAUGGAGGCAAAGACACGCCCCUACGCACCCUUUUACUUUGUUGUAGUCGUUCUUUCUUUGUGCUUCCGUACUCCUCUCAAAACGGUAUCGAACUCAUCUACGCGUGCACACUCUACUUGCACCGCAGAGAGUUUUCUGAGGUGAACCGCAAACGUGAAACUAAGAGUGCUGCACCCUCUUGCAGCCCGCGAGGCAAGGGGCCGUGCUUCAGCAAUGGCCUUCCGCUAUCAACCUCGAGAUGAGGCCAUGUUGGCACGGCGGUGUCUACUCAUGUGUGUGUGCCCGCCACUGCAGCAACAGUGAGCAGAGACUCCAUCGGAGGACAGCAACCGGCUGUGGGUAUACGCUUGCUAGUAUGUGGCCCCUCCCCACACUCCUUCACGUUGUGCGCACUUGUGCCAUGUUUCCUGCUUCGGAGGCUGGCGAGUAACAAAGGCCGUGCCCAUGCUUGGAUACUGGUGAGAAUGCCUCCCCCUGCGGUUGACAUCUGUGUGCUUUGCUGUUUAUAUUCACUAUGAGAUGCCGCACAAACAGUAGUGAGCAGAUGCCGUCCUGGAACCACUAGCUGCAACAGGUCUCAUUCCCUUUCUCUGGGGCGGGCUCCGCUUGGGUGAAGGACCAGACACCGGACCGUCUUGAAUGCGAUCUCCCUACCAUACAGAUAAUGACUGACGCAAUGCGGAGCACCCGGCAGCGCACGCGCAUCGCACGACACCCUUUCCACAUACUCUCUCGUGGCCGUCUGCCGUGCCGCUUUCGGCAUCCUUCUCUACAGGCUUCUCCGCGGCCCCCGUGGUGUUCCGUCAGGCAGCGCAGCCAUUUACGCCGCCGCUCAUCACACGUGCGAUGCGCAACGCAGUUUUCUCUACAACACGACACAGGCAGCGGAGGAGCACGCUAGAUGUGCAUGUGAAAGGUCUGUACACCUCCUGCGUCGAUGAUGUCUCACUGCACUGCUUAUCGCACCACACCACUCCGUGCGGCAUGUGGACUGAAGUUACAUCAGCAUUCCCGCUCCUCCACGGCCUGUAUGGCGCUUUGAUGAUGACAAUGAUAGGAUGUGGCCGUGCGCCGUCUUUUGUAAUGCUGCGUAUAUGAAACGACACCUCUCGUGCUGCAUCGAGUGAGCGGGCGCCACCUGUACAGAGUGCUGCACGUGCAUCGCCCUGUGCAAGUCGACGGCCAUGGGAACGUACACGUGCGUUGUCGUGGCGCGAUACGGCUCCACGCACUCUCUGCUAUCGACUCUCCAAGAUGGCACAGAGAAGGAAACCCAGUAAGAUACUGACCUAUAGUGUCUUUAAGUCGUGUGUGUGUCUGCG